AGAAUCAACGCUGGCGGCGUGCCUAACACAUGCAAGUCGAACGAGAAAGUGGAGCAAUCCAUGAGUAAAGUGGCGACCGGGUGAGUAACACGUGACUAACCUACCUUCGAGUGGGGGAUAACAUCGGGAAACCGAUGCUAAUACCGCAUAACAUCGCAAGAUCAAAGCAGCAAUGCGCUGGAAGAGGGGGUCGCGGCUGAUUAGCUAGUUGGCGGGGUAACGCCCACCAAGGCGAAGAUCGGUAGCCGGCCUGAGAGGGCGCACGGCCACACUGGAACUGAAACACGGUCCAGACUCCUACGGGAGGCAGCAGUGGGGAAUUUUGCGCAAUGGGGGAAACCCUGACGCAGCAACGCCGCGUGGAGGAUGAAGCCCCUUGGGGUGUAAACUCCUUUCGACCAAGACGAUAAUGACGGUACUGGUGGAAGAAGCACCGGCUAACUCUGUGCCAGCAGCCGC
Molecule: ribosomal RNA, 459 nt
Filed under: uncultured bacterium
Lineage: Bacteria
Description: SSU rRNA
Rfam family: Bacterial small subunit ribosomal RNA
Source: RNAcentral